UACGGGGGGAGCAAGCGUUGUUCGGAUUUACUGGGCGUAAAGGGCGCGUAGGCGGCCACCGCAAGUCGACUGUGAAAUCUCCGGGCUUAACCCGGAAAGGUCAGCCGAUACUGCGGGGCUAGAGUGCAGAAGGGGCAACUGGAAUUCUCGGUGUAGCGGUGAAAUGCGUAGAUAUCUGGAGGAACACCGGUGGCGAAGGCGGCAUCCUGGACCGGCAUUGACGCUGAGGCGCGAAAGCAUGGGGAUCAAACAGG
This 254-nucleotide ribosomal RNA is filed under the name uncultured bacterium. Its description in RNAcentral is "partial 16S ribosomal RNA". It matches the Rfam family "Bacterial small subunit ribosomal RNA", at positions 524 to 776 of the family's 1533-position model. The record is from RNAcentral.